UGGAGCUCAAUUAAAGGAAUAAAGAGCCUAUAGGAUUGGGCAAUGCAGGGAUGUCAAAGUGCUUAGGCUGAUAUCCUUGGGAACUGUGGAGGAGAUCAUGUACUUACAACAGGUGUACAAGCAGCAACUUCACUGUGUGGUAUAGUUGGAAGCGAAAAUGCCAGGCGAUAUUUUGAAGCAGUUCAAGGAUCAAAACAGCACCGAGGAGAGCUCUUCGGGGUCUGUAACCUCUUCAGACUAUGGUCCGAAGGCUCUUGUCUUACCAGCGACAUCCUGGAGGGGUGAAAUUGUUCUCUGACCUUUUCAAUAAUAUUUUAAACACAUUUUUCUCCCUUAGUAAACUUGAAAUACAAUUUCUGGUGCCUUUUCAGAGAAAUGUUUCAUUUUUGUUACAAAAAAUGCCUUGUGUUGAGAAUUUCUACUUUUAGAGAAAUAAGAAAUGUAUUAUUGUAUUAUUGUACCUUUAAACUAAGAUUUUUCUCAUAUAUAGUUAUAAAUAAUGUACACACACUAGAUGUAUACAUAUACUAGAUAUGUACAUAUACUAGAUAGUGUGACCUCCAGGGCCAUUUUCAGACUGGCAAAGAGAAAUGUAUUAUUUUUUAAAAUAGCUGUUGAAGUCAAGAACUAAAAAGAAACUUUCCUAAAUAAACAAAAAUUUUAAAUGUGUUUUGGUUAAAAGUUACCAAAUACUCCCUGAGAUGCACUCUCAUGUUUCAUGGAGAUUUUUGUUUUCUGUUCCCAAUAAAAAUUCCACACCAAUA
Manis javanica (Malayan pangolin) is the source of this 764-nucleotide non-coding RNA. NCBI's taxonomy places the organism in Eukaryota, Metazoa, Chordata, Mammalia, Pholidota, Manidae. The record is from RefSeq and is a predicted model, not a curated record.